UCAAAAACCAUCGUUGUAAUUCAACUACAAGAACACUUA
RNAcentral lists this transfer RNA (39 nucleotides) under Ponticola kessleri (bighead goby). Its description in RNAcentral is "partial tRNA-Glu". Lineage: Eukaryota; Metazoa; Chordata; Actinopteri; Gobiiformes; Gobiidae. The record is from RNAcentral.